RNAcentral lists this ribosomal RNA (252 nucleotides) under uncultured bacterium. RNAcentral describes it as "partial 16S ribosomal RNA". It matches the Rfam family "Bacterial small subunit ribosomal RNA", at positions 524 to 776 of the family's 1533-position model. The record is from RNAcentral.
UACGUAGGGCGCAAGCGUUAUCCGGAAUUAUUGGGCGUAAAGAGCUCGUAGGCGGUCUGUCGCGUCUGCUGUGAAAACCUGGGGCUUAACCCCGGGCCUGCAGUGGGUACGGGCAGACUAGAGUGCGGUAGGGGAGACUGGAAUUCCUGGUGUAGCGGUGAAAUUCGUAGAUAUCGAGAGGAACACCGGUGGCGAAGGCGGCCUUCUGGACAGUGACUGACGCUGAGACGCGAAAGCGUGGGAGCAAACAGG